Long non-coding RNA from Suricata suricatta (meerkat), 402 nucleotides. RefSeq lists it as uncharacterized. The record is from RefSeq and is a predicted model, not a curated record. The transcript has 3 exons. Lineage: Eukaryota; Metazoa; Chordata; Mammalia; Carnivora; Herpestidae.
GACCAUGGAACCAGAGGUUAUGCAGGAGUGAAGUAUCCUUCAGAGAGGAUGAAUUCUCAAGAAAAAGUACCAUUGCUGAAGGUAACAAAGAAAGAAGGAAGGAUAGAAGGAGCCUGAGUUUCUGCGGGCAUCAGGGAGCUAUCGUCUCAGUUCUGAACUAUCUUGUGAUUUUAUUUUGAAAAACAAGAAUGCGAAAAAGCCUCCAAAUCUUUUCCAAAAGAAGAUAAAAUUAUCUAUAAUCCUGCCAUCCAGAUUUAAAGAAAAAAAAAAAAAAACCCUUUCUGGGUGUCUUUGAUGGAUAUUUUCCCCCCAUCAUCAGCACCUUCUUGGAGCCUGAUUCUGCUGACGUUUUUCUGCAACUUAGCUUGGUAAUUGUGACUUACUUUCCAAAUCUUCUCUUUC